Molecule: long non-coding RNA, 217 nt
Filed under: Nicotiana benthamiana
Lineage: Eukaryota; Viridiplantae; Streptophyta; Magnoliopsida; Solanales; Solanaceae
Description: long non-coding RNA (NBEN_LNC023514)
Source: RNAcentral
AGAGGCAGUAAAAAACCAAUGCAAUAUAAUAAAACAAUGAAAUCUUGUAAAAACACCUUAGUUCAAUGAAAACCUCUUUAUAUCAUCUUUUAAUAGUUCAAACGAGUGAAUCAAAAUAGGGCAAAAAGAUAGAUACAUAAAUAAGCCUCUCGGGCAAGUACCAACAGAAUCAGCCCCUCGGGCUAUCUCAAAAUCAUUGUAUCAACCCCUCGGGCAA